AUUGAACGCUGGCGGCAUGCCUUAAACAUGCAAGUCGAACGGCAUCGCGGGAAAGCUUGCUUUCCUGGCGGCGAGUGGCGAACGGGUGAGUAACACAUCGGAACGUACCGGCUAGUGGGGGAUAACCCGUCGAAAGACGGGCUAAUACCGCAUACGCUCUUCGGAGGAAAGCAGGGGACCUUUGGGCCUUGCGCUAGCCGAGCGGCCGAUGUCCGAUUAGCUAGUUGGUGGGGUAAAGGCCUACCAAGGCGACGAUCGGUAGCGGGUCUGAGAGGACGAUCCGCCACACUGGGACUGAGACACGGCCCAGACUCCUACGGGAGGCAGCAGUGGGGAAUCUUGGACAAUGGGGGCAACCCUGAUCCAGCAAUGCCGCGUGGGUGAAGAAGGCCUUCGGGUUGUAAAGCCCUUUCGGCAGGGAAGAAAUCGGCGGGGCGAAUAACCCUGCUGGAUGACGGUACCUGCAGAAGAAGCACCGGCUAACUACGUG
Molecule: ribosomal RNA, 490 nt
Filed under: uncultured bacterium
Lineage: Bacteria
Description: partial 16S ribosomal RNA
Rfam family: Bacterial small subunit ribosomal RNA
Source: RNAcentral